Molecule: RNA transcript, 2655 nt
Organism: Ictalurus furcatus (blue catfish)
Lineage: Eukaryota; Metazoa; Chordata; Actinopteri; Siluriformes; Ictaluridae
Gene name: integral membrane protein 2A-like
Exons: 7
Source: RefSeq, a predicted model, not a curated record
GCGUGUAGAAUCGCAAACAAAAGUGCGUCACCACAACACUGCAGGACUGUCGCUACACGGUUGUGUUUUGGUUACGACAAAACCGAAUAUAGAAUUUUACUUGGUAUUUGUUGUUGCACUGGUUUAAGAAUAUGGUGAAGAUAGCGUUUAAUUCCGCUCUGGCGCAGAAAGCGCUUGGAAAAGAAGUACCGGUCUCAGAGAAGGACCCUGAGACCGGCUCGGUGUACAGCAGCGAGAGUUCCACCGGCCGCUGUCUGCUCACUCUGCUCGGCCUGGCCUUCAUCAUUUCAGGCCUCGUUGUCGGCGGAGCCUGUGUGUACAGGUAUUUUACACCCAAGAAGCUCUAUCACGGAUCCAUGCAGUUCACGGAUAUCGACAGCGCCGAUAUGCCCAUGGACAUGGAGGCCCACGCGCCUUACUACCUACCCCGUGUUGACGAGGACGUGGAGAUCCGUGACAACGUGGCCAUCAUUAACGUCCCAGCUCCUCGCUUUGGGGCUGGGGAUCCAGCUUACAUCCUGCAUGAUUUUAAGAGGAAGCUGACUGCUUAUUUGGACCUAACUCUGAAGACGUGCUUUGUGAUCCCACUCAACACCUCUGUGGUGAUGCUGCCCCAGGACCUCUUGGAUUUAUUCUUGCAGCUCAUGUUUACAGGAUGUGAAACUGAGAAACCAUACAGUGCUGAUAACUUUACCACUAGGUUACACAAGGCCUCUGUGCAUACUGAGUCAUGGUGCUGCUCACAAACCAGUAUAUUCUGGCUCGUACAAAACUCACUUGGUGCAUGAGGAUCUGGUGGUGACCGAGCGUAUUGACGACCUCACCCCCUUGGGCUAUUAUAUUUACAGCCUGUGUGAGGACAGGCCAACAUACAAGAUGCAACGCCGCAGCGAGAUAAUGGGCUUCCAGAAGCGCUCCGUGGAGGAUUGCAGCAUAAUCCGCCACUUCGAGAAUAAAUUCGUCACCGAAACAAGGAUCUGCCGAGCCUGAGCAAGCAGGGAGUCAGGAGGGGACAGACAUCCAAACACCCCCCCCCCCCCUUUCAUUGCAGGGUAGAGAGAUGUGAAGUGAGCUGAAAGAGGGAGCAAGGGAGGUCUGAGAGGAAAGGGCCUGUCUUCCAUCUCCUGCUGUAGUGUUUAGCAUAGGGUGUCUUUUUUUGUAUUAAUUUCGAGACGGCAGACGUUUCUCUUCUCCCCCUUUGCGGUGUAGUGAUGUAGCUCUCCUAAAGCAGUUUGCGAUUUCUUACACGUUUGUCACUGUACACCAUGAUUCCCUCUUCAGCCUGCCUGCAGCUCAAACCUUGUUUUUAGUGUGUGUGUGUGUGUGUGUGUGUGUGUGUGUGUGUGUGUGUGUGUGUGUGUGUGCGCGCGCGCCUUCUUUUCUUUGUCACCAUUUUUUUUGUGGGUAAUGAUUUGUGAACUGUGCAAAAUGUUAACCUUGGUGAACUUUUUGUUUUGUUUUGUUUUUUUUCCUUCUGCAGAAGUAUUUCUAUCUAAGCACACGGCGAUGCACCUCUAGUCUAAUCUUUUUUUGCUAUUUCCCGGUAAUUACUUAUCAGUGUAUAAAGACCCACUUGGUCUCUAGAGGUCUGAUCAGCUUGCAGCUCUUAAAAUGCGACCCUUUUGCGUUCAUGUAUUUUAGGAACAAACCACAUAUGAUGUAAAGUGUCAUUUCCGCAUGUUUUUUUGUUUAAAUUUUAUUUAUUUUUUUAUUUUUUUUGGAUCUAGCAGACCACUGUAGCGCUGCUUCCUAAUAGUGUCCCUGCUACCGUUUAUCUAUACACGUUAUGGUGUCCGUUAGACAUGGCUCGAUUUUUGUCAAUUAUACCUCUCGAUCCAAAUUCUACAUGCCUCAUAAUGAAGGCUAGUCAGUACAAAUGCACUACGAUAAGAUUUUUUUUUUUUUUUAGACGUUUCACAGAUUAGGACCGUGAACGGCUUCCUUGCAUGAUUUCACACAUGGUCUAGCCUGACCAUCUUUGUCGUCUUGCAUCGUAUCUCACGAACUCUGGCCUAAAGAAUUCUUGUGGUAUCACGUUGUAAAAUGUCACUGCUGGGGCACAGUGGUGUGUUAACAAUCACUCGACUGAUCAGCAACUUGAACCCACUACUCAGGCCUUUUAAAAAAAUAAUAAUAAUAAUAAUAAUUUUGUUUUGUUUUGGUGUAGGACUUGAUGUGCAUCCUUCAGCAAAAGGAUGUAGCAUUGACAUGUUACAAAUAAUUACCAACAGGUUCACCCAACCCACCCACACAGGUCAAUAUAAACAUGUGUUCACUCCGUAUUGGUGUAAAUAUACCCAAAGCCACCAGACCUGUCACCUUUUUUUUUUCUUUUCUCCCCACAAUAGUUUUCCAUUGCAACAUUCUGUCUACUCCCCGCACGGCACCGUGGUUGUUCAAUUGUUUUGAAAUUCCCCGUGUUCUAAAAAAAAAAAAGUUACAUGUAUAUUUUGGAAAGAUCCAGUAGUUUAACUGCUGCUCAGAAAAUGACAAUCAAGACUGGAGUCUCUGUUGCUGUUUUUUCUGCUCGACCCGAUUCAGAAAAAACCGGACGCGAAAGAUGCUUGACUGAAUAAAAAUAAUGUACUACUGAAACGUUAAACUGCUGACUGAAGUUUGUUUGGAAAUAAAAAAAAAAAAAAAUGCAUUGCUUUA